This 1789-nucleotide long non-coding RNA is filed under the name Sus scrofa (pig). RNAcentral describes it as "lncRNA (ENSSSCG00035057088.1)". The record is from RNAcentral. Lineage: Eukaryota; Metazoa; Chordata; Mammalia; Artiodactyla; Suidae.
GGAGACACAACUCAGUUCUUAACACACACAAAUCAGGAGCCACCAUAAGGCCUCGCGGAGCAGAGCUCCCACCGCAGUGAGCCUGGGAACGGUCAGCAGCGGAUCAGCAGGACUGGGGCUGUGGGGGGCCGUGCAGGGAUGCGGAUGGAGGCCUGCAGCUCUGGGCAACGGCGUGGAUGACAGAGGAAACAGCAACUUGUCCUUCCGCCCCGGUCCGCCCCGGGCGAGCGGCGGAACAGGCUCCAAAGUGGCCCCGGCUGGUGUCAGAGCCUGAGUUCAAGGCAGUCCAGCGUCAGCUACGAGAGCCCCUGUGGGGGUCGGGGCCAGGGGGACACAGCUCAAGCCUGGGAGGGGUGAACUCAAAGCACCUCCCAACAGAAGACGCGUCACUCACCAAAAGCGACGUCCCAGUGAAGAUCCUGGCAGAUGCCACCUCAACCAAGCGGUCAGAGCAAACGUCAGAACUCUGACCAACGGGCCACAGCGAGCCACCUGAGAGGAAGGAAGGAAGGCAGGCGGAGACGCAGAAUGGGUAUCUGAUCGGGAGGAAACAGCUGAGAAACCUAAGGUAACUGCCUGUAACCUUCAAAGGUGUCCAGGUCAUGACGUCAGGGAAAGCCUGAGGAAGGUUCUGGACGGAAGGGGACGAAAGAAACGUGAUGACAAGUCAGUACAACGGAAGGUCCCAGACCAGAUCCUUCUGGUUUUGUGACUUUAUGGGAUCAACUGGAAAAACAUGCUUGCCUGGGACUGAGGACGCCACGGCGUGACCCGUCCAUGUCACGCUGCCGACUGUGAGGAUCCGGCCGUGGUGAUGCCGGGGAGGGUCCCCGCGUGUGGGAAACACACUCCGAGGUGUCUGGAGCUGGCAGAGCAUUACGGAGGCAACUCGUUCUCAAAUGCUCCAGGAAAAGAAGUUGUUCAUGCUGAACGGGAAAUUUUUUUUUUUUUUUUUUUUUUUUUUUUUUUGGUCUUUUUGCCUUUUCUAGGGCUGCUCCCGUGGCAUAUGGAGGUUCCCAGGUGUGGCCCUAAACAAACAAACAAACAAAAAAGGUAAAAGCUAAAGAAAAUCAAGAAAAUUAGAAUUAAAAAGUCAGCCUGUGGUCAUGGGGGAGGGAUCUGCAUGGAGCAAGGCAGGGGUGGGUUGAAUUCUGGGGUGCCGACAAGGUUCUAUUUCUGAAGAGAUUACUGGUGCGGGCUUCCUAACCAGUCCUUAAAGCGUACCUGUGAAUUAUGCACCAUCUGUCUGCACAGGCUACCUACUAGGCAAUGCUUUGAACUCUGGGGACCCCAGCAGGCCCGCUUAUCUCCCAGUUGCGCACUCGGCUUGUUCAAGCACUGUUUGCUAGAUACAUAAACAUGAGCACAUAAAGGAGGAUUUGUUUACGGAAACACAAUUAUAGAGGCUUCCAGAAACAAGGUGACCAUUAAAACCCAAGCUCAGAGGGCCUCGGGAUUAGGACCAGCGCCCUUUUCCCUCUGGGGUCUCCUCUUCUCACCAGCCGGGCUCACUCUUGAGCUGUGCUUUCCUAAAGGUGCUAAGACAACCCCACAAGGUCCGCGCAGAGCUCGGAAGCUGCACCCCAGCCAGGGAGGGGUCCCUGAAACCAGCCGGCGACCCCGGCCCUAGCGGUUAUUUCUCGGACAGAACUUGCGUGGGGAAGGCGAGGGUAGGUGCCUGGGGGGCGGCCAAAGCCCCCAUGCCAGCCUCAGGCUCCGAGGCCAACCGACCCACCUGUCAGCGGGCCCACCUGGGCCCCAGCGUCGCAGUCAGGCUCCGGGCGGAGAG